ACCGGACGGCGAUGAGAAAAUCUUCCAGAGUGUUCUCCACAUUCUCCAUCAACCAUCACAUCAGCAAUAUUCCAGAAGGAUAGAAUCCAUGUAUCCGUGCGUCAUAGGGGAACUUUUCCCGAGGCUUUCCCAAGGUUUGCUUCAGCUUCGAGAAAACAUCCCCGUUGCGACGGAAUGUAUACGGCACCGCUCCUUUCUCCCUUUCUUUACUAUCCGCUCAUUUGCAUCAGCGCGCCCAAAUAAAGAUCGUAUAUAUAUAUUAUUUUAUUCAUUCAUUCAUAUGUCUCCUACACUUUUGCUAUGGG
Molecule: small RNA, 305 nt
Filed under: Histoplasma capsulatum var. duboisii H88
Lineage: Eukaryota; Fungi; Ascomycota; Eurotiomycetes; Onygenales; Ajellomycetaceae
Description: Histoplasma capsulatum H88 hypothetical RNA
Source: RNAcentral